UGAAUACGAGACGCUAAGGCGUCGAAGUAGUGUAUGUCAUGCUUCCAAGAAAAGCUUGCACUGUCAUAGAUAAAAAACGCCUGUACCAUAACCGACACAGGUGGGUAGGUAGAGUAUACUAAGGGGCGCGAGAUAACUCUCUCUAAGGAACUCGGCAAAAUAACUCCGUAACUUCGGGAGAAGGAGUGCCUUAUUCUUAAGGUUGCAAUAACAAGAUCCAAGCAACUGUUUAUCAAAAACACAGGUCUCCGCUAAGUCGUAAGACGAUGUAUGGGGGCUGACGCCUGCCCAGUGCCAGAAGGUUAAAGAAGUUGGUUAGCAUUUGCGAAGCUGAUAACUGAAGCCCUGGUGAACGGCGGCCGUAACUAUAACGGUCCUAAGGUAGCGAAAUUCCUUGUCGGGUAAGUUCCGACCCGCACGAAAGGCGUAAUGAUUUGGAUACUGUCUCGGAGAGGGGCUCGGUGAAAUAGACUUGUCUGUGAAGAUGCGGACUACCUGCACCAGGACAGAAAGACCCUAUGAAGCUUUACUGUAACUUGAAAUUGAAAUUGGACUUUAUUCGCGCAGCAUAGGUGGGAGGCGUUGAUUAUAAUCUCGUGGGAUUAUUGGAGCCAUCAGUGAGAUACCACUCUUGUAAUGUUAGAUUUCUAACUUUGAAUCAUUAUCUGGUCAAAGAACAGUUUCAGGCGGGCAGUUUGACUGGGGCGGUCGCCUCCUAAACGGUAACGGAGGCGUACAAAGGUUUCCUCUGAACGGUUAGAAAUCGUAUCUAGAGUGUAAAGGCAUAAGGAAGCUUGACUGUGAGACCUACAAGUCGAGCAGGGACGAAAGUCGGUCUUAGUGAUCUGACGGUACUGAGUGGAAAGGCCGUCACUCAACGGAUAAAAGUUACUCUAGGAUAACAGGCUGAUCUCCCCCAAGAGUUCACAUCGACGGGGAGGUUUGGCACCUCGAUGUCGGCUCAUCGCAUCCUGGGGCGGUAGUACGUCCCAAGGGUUGGGCUGUUCGCCCAUGAAAGCGGUACGCGAGCUGGGUUCAGAACGUCGUGAGACAGUUCGGUCCAUAUCCGGUGUAGGCGUUAGAAUAUUGAGAGGAGCCUUCUUUAGUACGAGAUGACCGAGAAGGACAUACCUCUGGUGUACCAGUUAUCGUGCCAACGGUAAACGCUGGGUAGCUAUGUAUGGAGUGGAUAACCGCUGAAAGCAUCUAAGUGGGAAGCCCACCUCAAGAUAAG
Molecule: ribosomal RNA, 1234 nt
Filed under: metagenome
Description: bacterial LSU rRNA
Rfam family: Bacterial large subunit ribosomal RNA
Source: RNAcentral